AAAGAUUCAUCGCUGAUAGAUAGGCAUGCGUUCCAUUAGGCAGUUGGCGGGGUAACGGCCCACCAAACCGACGAUGGAUAGGGGUUCUGAGAGGAAGGUCCCCCACAUUGGUACUGAGACACGGACCAAACUCCUACGGGAGGCAGCAGUGAGGAAUAUUGGUCAAUGGGCGUAAGCCUGAACCAGCCAAGUCGCGUGAGGGAUGAAGGUUCUAUGGAUCGUAAACCUCUUUUAUAAGGGAAUAAAGUGCGGGACGUGUCCCGUUUUGUAUGUACCUUAUGAAUAAGGAUCGGCUAACUCCGUGCCAGCAGCCGCGGUAAUACGGAGGAUCCGAGCGUUAUCCGGAUUUAUUGGGUUUAAAGGGUGCGUAGGCGGCCUUUUAAGUCAGCGGUGAAAGUCUGUGGCUCAACCAUAGAAUUGCCGUUGAAACUGGGAGGCUUGAGUAUGUUUGAGGCAGGCGGAAUGCGUGGUGUAGCGGUGAAAUGCUUAGAUAUCACGCAGAACCCCGAUUGCGAAGGCAGCCUGCCAAGCCAUGACUGACGCUGAUGCACGAAAGCGUGGGGAUCAAACAGGAUUAGAUACCCUGGUAGUCCACGCAGUAAA
RNAcentral lists this ribosomal RNA (603 nucleotides) under uncultured bacterium. RNAcentral describes it as "bacterial SSU rRNA". It matches the Rfam family "Bacterial small subunit ribosomal RNA", at positions 202 to 806 of the family's 1533-position model. The record is from RNAcentral.